This 253-nucleotide ribosomal RNA is filed under the name uncultured bacterium. Its description in RNAcentral is "partial 16S ribosomal RNA". It matches the Rfam family "Bacterial small subunit ribosomal RNA", at positions 524 to 776 of the family's 1533-position model. The record is from RNAcentral.
UACGUAGGGUGCAAGCGUUGUCCGGAAUUAUUGGGCGUAAAGAGCUCGUAGGCGGUUUGUCGCGUCGGCUGUGAAAACCUGGGGCUCAACCCCGGGCCUGCAGCCGAUACGGGCAAACUAGAAUUCGGUAGGGGAGACUGGAAUUCCUGGUGUAGCGGUGAAAUGCGCAGAUAUCAGGAAGAACACCCGUGGCUAAGGCGGCUCUCUAGUACGGUACUGACGCUGAGACGCGAAAGCGUGGGGAGCGAACAGG